AAUCGGAUCCGAGAGUCUUUUUCUAAAGGCCAGUACUGGCCACACUUUCUCCUGCCGCCUUCCUCAAAGCUGAAGACACACAGAGCAAGGCGCUUCUGUUUUACUCCCCAAUGGUAACUCCAAACCAUAGAUGGUUAGCUCCCUGCUCAUCUUUCCACAUCCCUGCUAUUCAGUAUAGUCCGUGGACCAAUCACACCAGCAUCGUAUGGGAGAGUGUAAGAAACAUGAAUCUGCAUGUCAACGAGAUCCCCAGGUGAGUCGUAGGUAGGUUUGGGAAGCACUGCUACAUACCCUCUCAGAGUCUUAAUCAUCAGAACUUCAGCCAUCACAUCCAGGCUGACAGUGUCAAACUGUAAGAAUCUCUAGCUGUUUUCAUCUCACCUAAGCUUCAGUUUUAUAAUCACAGAUUGCUUACUAAACCAUUAACCUUCUGUUUCCCAUAAUCUCAGAUCCAUUAUGUCUGUAACUAAGUCUCCUCCUUCAAAAUUAGCUUUAUCUUGGCCGGGUGCAGUGGCUCAUGCCUAUAAUCCCAGCACUUUGGGAGGCCAUGGCAGGCAGGUUGCCUGAGCUCAAGAGUUUGAGAUCAGCCUGGCAACAUGGUAAAACCCCAUCUCUAUGAAAAAUACAAAAAUUAGCCAGGUGUGGUGGCACAUGCCUGUAGUCUCAGGUACUUGGGAGGCUGAGGCACAAGAAUUGCUUGACCCCGGGAGGUGGAGGUUGCAGUGAGCCAAGAGCGCACCACUGCACUCCAGCCUGGGCAACAGAACGAGACUCUGUCUCAAAAAAAAAAAAAAUUAGCUUUAUCUUGCAACUUUCUUAUCUCUGUUAACAAUACUAGCAUUCUUAAAUCAUUCAGUCUUAAAAAGGUGAAGUCAACACUGACUUACCCAUUUCCUUCAUCUCCCAGAAGCAGUCAGUCACCAAAUCCUAGAGAUUUUUUACCUUUGAAAUGUUUUUGGUUUUUAUUCUUUUGCCCUCAUCUUCUCCCCAUCCUGUUCUUCCUGCUCGAUUUCACUGACACAAAGACCACGUCAUCUUCUAAGUUACUGUAACACCCUCUUAGUCUACUUUUUUGAAUAGGCCUUUUUCCCUUCCAAUCUACUCUGGGAAACCCCACCAGUUUAAUCUUUCUUAAAAAUUACUUCAUCAGAACAUAGACACACCAUGCUCACUUUGGCCUCUAUUCUUUCGCUCAAGCUGUCUCCGUCACCUCCAAUGCUAUUCAUUUUCUACCCAUUUUCAAGUGCCACCUCUUCCUUGAAGCUUUCUCUGACCACCGCAUUCCUUGUGAAGCUUCUUCUCUUUUGCUUUUGAUGGCACAGCUGGAUCUAUACAGGUUGACCAUUUAAUUUAUAUACUCUUCCAUCCAUUAUUUUACUUUGUGGGAAUUAAUGAUAUCUCACUAAACAUGGUCCUAAGGACAAAGGAUUACAGGUGUGAGCCACUGCACCUGGCCAAAUUCUCCUUUGCACAGGGCUGAGCACUCAGGGCUGAGCACUCAGCAAUAACUUUGAAGAUACUUGUGGGCUACCAACUCCACUUUGAUCAAGACAGUAACCGGCCGGGCGCAGGGCUCACACCUGUAAUCCCAACACUUUGGGAGGCCGAGGCAGGUGGAUCACUUGAGGUCAGGAGUCCGAGACCAGCCUGGCCAACAUGGUAAAACCCCGUCUCUACUAAAAAUAUGAAAAUUAGCUGGGCACGAUGGCAGGUGCCUGUAAUCCCAGCUACUCGGGAGCCUGAGUUAGGAGAAUUGUUUGAACCCAGGAGGCGGAGGUUGCAUUAAUUGCAUUAAACCAAGAUCGCACCAUUGAACUCCGGCCUGGGCGACAGCAAGACUCCAUCUCAAGAAAAAAAAAACGUAACAACUCAAGAUAAUUCCUUAUACUUUCUGGGUGUUUCUUUCCUCUCUGCUUUCAGGAAAGCAGGGCAGUACUAAUGGUUAAUUUUGGUCUAGAAGUCUGCUGGUUCUACUACCCUUAUUGCUAAGUCUUUUAGCAAGCACUAACAUGAUACUGGAAUACCCUCUCUGCAGAAGUGGAUGAUGUCAAAAACGUGAGAUCUUAGAAAUACACUAAAUAUCCAAUAAGAGAGGAUUAAUUAAAUUAUGACGUAUCAGGUGGGGUGCAGUGGCGCACGCCUGUAAUCCCAGCACUUUGGGAGGAUGAGGCAGGCAGAUCACUUGAGCCCAGAAGUUUGAGACCAACCUGGGCAACAUUGCAAAACCCUGUCCCUACAAAAAAUACAAAAACUAGCCAGGUGUAGUAGCACAUGCCUGUAGUCCCAGCUACUCAGGAGACUGAGGUGAGAGGAUCACCUGUGUGUGCCUGGAGAGGCCAAGGCUGCAUUGAGCCAUGAUCGUGAACCAUGAUCAUACCACUCUGUCACCCAGCCUAGGUGACAGAGUGAGACCCUGUCUCAAAAA
This 2425-nucleotide long non-coding RNA is filed under the name Homo sapiens (human). RNAcentral's name for it is "HSALNT0382352". Lineage: Eukaryota; Metazoa; Chordata; Mammalia; Primates; Hominidae. The record is from RNAcentral.